This 253-nucleotide ribosomal RNA is filed under the name uncultured bacterium. Its description in RNAcentral is "partial 16S ribosomal RNA". It matches the Rfam family "Bacterial small subunit ribosomal RNA", at positions 524 to 776 of the family's 1533-position model. The record is from RNAcentral.
UACGUAGGGUGCAGGCGUUAAUCGGAAUUACUGGGCGUAAAGCGUGCGCAGGCGGUUUGCUAAGACAGGUGUGAAAUCCCCGGGCUUAACCUGGGAACUGCGCUUGUUACUGGCAGGCUUGAGUGUGGCAGAGGGGGGUGGAAUUCCACGUGUAGCAGUGAAAUGCGUAGAUAUCAGGAGGAACACCGAUGGCGAAGGCAGGUCUCUGGGCUGACACUGACGCUCAUGCACGAAAGCGUGGGGAGCAAACAGG